Stegodyphus dumicola is the source of this 278-nucleotide long non-coding RNA. NCBI's taxonomy places the organism in Eukaryota, Metazoa, Arthropoda, Arachnida, Araneae, Eresidae. The record is from RefSeq and is a predicted model, not a curated record.
ACCCCAUCAAUUAUGUUGUUUGUAGUUUCAGACUUAAGGGAAUGGUAAAUGUCAGAUUAAAAAUCGAUUAUCUCUAAAUAGAAAAUGGCCGAAAGUGCCGAAGAAAAUGAUGUUAUGGUUGUCAGUGUUUCUGGUACUUCAACAACAGUUUUAAGUGCGGCAUUUGGUUUCACAGAAAAUAUACGAUGGGACCCAACAAUGAGUGUAGACUGGGGCAAAGAAACCCCAUCUCCACAAUGUUUGAUGCGAAUUAAACGGUAAAUUAUGACUAUAUACAA